Non-coding RNA from Phoenix dactylifera (date palm), 3283 nucleotides. The record is from RefSeq and is a predicted model, not a curated record. NCBI's taxonomy places the organism in Eukaryota, Viridiplantae, Streptophyta, Magnoliopsida, Arecales, Arecaceae.
CUACCUCUACCUUUCAAACCUGCCGUUCUCUCUCUCUCUCCCUCCCUCGUUUCCCAUCUGCGUCAUCUCCGACUCCGACUUUUUUCUUUCCUUUUAACUUCAUGGGGAUCAAAACCAAAACCCUCUCCUCUCAUCCUCGCCGACGCCCACCAUGCUUCUUCGAAGAGGCAAGCCCCAUCUCAAGCUCCCCGAGAAGGAGGAGGAGGAGGAGCUCGAGAUGUUUCAAGUCGCCGGUAGAGGGCCGGCUGUCCAACGCCACGAGGAGUCGUCGGGACCAAUGACCCGCUUCAGAAGAAUCGGUAGGGGCAUGGGCAGGCUAAGGGAAGUCUCGGACGACGACACGACGACGACGGAGUUGGAAUUCGAGCUUUCUUGCAAGGUUAUAAAUUUGGAGGCAUUGCAACAAAUCGCUUGCUGUGGUCAUCUUGAUGGAGAGUCGCGUGCCACUGUGUGGAAGCUCUUACUGGGUUAUCUACCUGCUGAGAGAGAUGCAUGGGAGGGAGAGUUGGCUAACAACAGAUUAAGAUAUGCUGAACUGAAAGAAGAGCUGCUCGUUAAUCCUUCAGAAUUCUUGAGAAAGGAGGAUGAAACGUUUUCAGUGAGCAAGCAGGGUAGGAUAAUGGGUGUUGAUGGGCUACUAAGUCGGCAAAAGGUUUUUAAUGGUGACCAUCCUUUAAGUCUUGGUAAUGAUAGCAUUUGGUAUCGAUAUUUCAAGGAUGCAGAGAUUGUGGGGCAGAUUGAUCGCGAUCUUGAGCGCACACAUCCAGAUAUUGAAUUUUUCUCUGGGGAUAUCUCACAGAGCAAAAGAAACCGGGGAGCAAUGAGGAAUAUUCUUCUUCUGUUUACAAAACUGAACCCAGCAAUUGGUUAUGUACAAGGAAUGAAUGAGGUGUUAGCUCCAUUGUACUAUGUAUUGAACACAGAUCCCAAUGAGCAAAAUGCUUCAAAUGCAGAAGCAGAUAGCUUUUUCUGUUUUGUUAGAGUGAUGAGUGAUUCUGUGGACCAUUUCUGUCAACAAUUAGAUAAUAGCUCUGUGGGAAUUCACUCUACGCUUUCACGUUUAUCUGAACUCUUAAAAGGUAAUGAUGAAGAGCUAUGGCGACAUCUUGAGAACUUGAAGGAUUCGCCUGAAUAUGUAUUUUGUCAAAGUCCAUGGAUUCAUAUUUCUGUUAUAUCAUGUCAAGACAACUGCAGAGAUUGUAGAGAAUAAAGUUAGGAUCUUCUGAAGAUGCAUUGAAACCAAAAUAGGUAUUUGACUUGUUUCUAUGUGGUCAACUUCAUCUUUUUUAUGUUUAGCAUUUCCAAUGUCUGUUAAAGAUACCCUGCUUUUCAUUAAGGAUCCAGUUUCAUGCUUGUUAAUGGACUCUUCUUUAAUUCUCUUUUUUCCCGGGUGGUAACUGCAUGAAUUAAUAAGUUGUGGGCAUAUUGCUACAAGCCUAUUGUUUGCUUUUACUGAGACCUCGUGUUUGUUUAUUUCCAUCUGUUCUCUCAUGCUUCUCCCUUGGUAGGGAAACUGGAGAAACAUGGUCACAUUUAUCUGCAAUUAGAGUAUACAGAAUUAAUGUUAAAAUCUAUCAAUCAGUCAAACUGAAGUACAAAUCACAAAUAUUUCUAACUCUCUUGUUGGCCACAUACGUUUUUAACUCCCUUUUAUGCUACUCUCUUGUUAAGAAUUUUGGGAAAAUCAUGGUUGCUUUCAGUUGCCAUCAUAGUACACACCAUAGAGGAUAAAUGUCGAUGUUGGUCACUCUUUAUUGACGUCAAUUGGUUUUACUUAUACAAUACUCACCCUCAGUAGUAAAAAUGAUGCUUCUUUAUUUGUGGUUGUUUACAAGAAUUAUUUUAUCACGAUGCUAGCCAUAUGGUGUUUUAUAUUUUGUUGGUUUUGUUAUGUUUUAAGUGUAGAUGACAAAAGUAAUUCCCUGCUAUUAUUUAAUACUUGGAUGGUUCAUUUAUUAUUACUUUAUGUAUUUUUUUUUAUUUUACAUUUUGUAAUAUAACACUUCUUUAUCCUUGAUUUUAAUUGAAGACAGUGUAAUAUUUUUUGUUUUCCUAAAUAAUAUAUGGAUAUUUGUUGUCUGAUACCCCCCCCCCCCCUCCUCCUCCUCCCUACCCGUGCUCCACAAAAAAGAAAGAGUCAUUUCUGAUGUUCAUACCUUGACUAAUGGAGAAUAUGAACAUGUUCUUAUAGAUGCUACUGGUGGAUGUUUUUUGCAUCAACAUACCCGCAGAGAUGGUUCCUUGACUGCUCCAUUGUCCUCAAGGGGAAUGGUUCUUUGAUUGCUACAUAUAUAGGCAUCUCAGUAUCCGCUCACAUACACUAUUAGCUACUAAUAGUCCCUCUGUCCUUGUUAAUCUAGUAAAUAGUUUUUGAUUAUAGGGCAUUGGACCAUGCUGGCGUGGCUUAAUAAAGCCGACUGACUGUAGGUUUGCUUUAUUUCUUAUUAAUUUUUCUGAAGUACCUGCAAAUUUAUAAUAUCAUCAUUUCCCAAUAAAUCAUUUGAUUCUGAAGUACACGGCAGAAGCACCAAAAAAUAAAUUGACGUGUCCUUCAGAAUCAAAUGAUUUAAUAUUUGUUCCAAAUCUAUGCAUGGUAUAGCAUAGGACAAUCAAUAAACUUCAUGGUAGCAUGCAGGACUAGUAUCGUAAACUGAUGGACUAAAAGCAAACUGAUGUUUCCAUUUGUCCUCCCAUAGAUAUCUUACAAUCUCUUACAGAGCCAGGUGUAAUUCACUCCAUUAUACAGGUGAACCCACAGUUCUAUGCAUUCAGGUGGAUCACCUUGCUAUUAACUCAGGAAUUUGAGUUUCAUUGUAUCAUGAGGAUAUGGGAUUGCCUCCUCAGCAAUCCCUUGGGUGUGCAGGAGAUGCUGCUGAGAGUCUGCUGUGCCAUGCUGGUCUGUGCGAGGCAUGAGCUUUUGAAAGGCGACUUCACAUCAAAUUUGAAACUUCUCCAACAUUACCCUGAAAUCGACCUAGAUUAUCUACUAGAUACAGCUCAUCAUCUGACUCCCAUUUCAUAAUCUCAUUCACUUGACUGCUUUUUGAUGACAGAUGGACCAUAAAAUGGUCAAAAGAUUUGCGUAAAUAGUUGGACCACUCAAGAACUAUAUUGUGGGAUGUGGGUACUGUGCAUGCAUGAGUACUUUGUACUUAUGCUGGUUGGUUUGGAUGUUCCAAUAAUUAUAAUGCCUUUAGCAGAUUCUGUGAAUGAUGAUUAGCUAAAAAAAAAAAGGUUAAGAACUAGUAUAAAUAGAGAUUCUAUAGCUCAGUUUUAUGAUUCA